AGAAAGCAGGAAGAUUGAAAUUUCAUUAAAUUAAAAUCAACAAGAAAAAAAUUCUAGCUGGAAUCCAAAAAUUCAGCUUUAUUGGUACAACAAAAAUGUCAAAUCGGUAUAUAAAGAUAACAAAAAAAAAAAGUAAAAGAAUAACAUAAAAUCAAUACUAUACUAUUUAAUUCAACAAUCUAGCAAAGGCAAGUGACAAGAAAGUGACUGGCAAAGCUGCAAGAACCAAAGAUGGAGCUGAGCCACUUGGUGGUGGUGGUGAAGUGACCGGAGAAUCACCCGAGGGGGCGGAUGGGACGGUGGAGCCAGAUGGCGUGGCGGCGAUGGAAGGCGUGGGGGCGGCGGCGCUGGUGCCGGUGACUUUGAUAGCUAGCUUUUGACCUAAUGAGCAGUGGCUAGGGAAAGUGCACAUGUAGUAAUUUUCACCAGAAUUUGUAAGUGUGAUCCUAGCAGGACCAGUGUUAAUUGUGUUAAUAGUAGAAGUAGUGUUGCAUGAAUCAUAAGCUGCCUUACUAACCAUUGCAACAUUGUGCCUCCCAUUGACAAAAUUGAAAACUGCAUUGAAAAAUAUAAGAAAGGUUAGAAUGUCAGAUCAACAACUAUAAAUAUAGUAAUAGGUAUUUUCAUAAAGAACUACAGUUUAUAGCCUAAUUACCAUACGUAACUGUAGUUUGCUUAAUUGUCAUUCGUAACUAUUGUUCAAUUGUUACCGGCUUAUAUCAUUUGUAUUCAUUCGUUAUCAACACAUAUAAUACACUGAAAUACAGUGAUACAUACAGUUGUUGUAUUAUUGUAUGUGUGACUCCAUACACUGCAUUUACCAUUGUGAUUUUGCUGCAAAAUACAAUUGUAGCUGCAAGUUGUAAUUAUUUCAAAGUGUAUUUAUGUAUGGUAAAUACAGUAGAUAAGUUAGUUACACCAUGUAAUUUUCAUAGAAAUGAGAGUAUUUCAAGAUAAAUGUGAUACAAAAUAUUACUCCUAUUUGAAUUAUAAGCACUAUUGGCACCUCAAAUGUUGGGAGGUUUUAAUGCACGAUGGUAAGUAUAAUCGGGUCAUUUAUAAGGUAAUUAUAGAUAAAUAUUAUGAUAAAUAUUAAUUGAUAACCUGAUAAAAAAUGGUAAACGAAUUCGGGAUAAGUUUUAGUGCUUACCAAGAGUAUCUCCAACUUUGAAGGAUUUGCCAUUAGCCCAAGUUUGAUAAGCAUUUGGGCCACCAGUAGUAGGAACAUUCCAGCCCAUGUUGCCUCCAACAGUAUAAGUUUGGGCUGCAACUGUAGGUGAGGGUGCUGCCGCUGAUGGGGCGGGAGCUGUUGAUGGGUUCGCUGAAGGAGCGGUCACUGGAGUGGCAGUGGGAGGAGUGGUGGGCCUGGCGGCAGCUGGCUGAGGAGCCGGAGAGGCGGAGCCGGCGACAUUGAUAGCCAAUUUCUGGCCCAAUGUACAAUGGCUUGGCAAGGUGCAAAGGUAGUAAUGUGAUCCAGCAGAUCUCAAUGUAAUAUUUGUUGGCCCAUUAGUGGAUAUAGAAAUUGGGUUUGCGGUAUUGCAUGAAUCAAAAGCUGCCUUUGACACCUCAGCCACACUAUGCAAUCCGGUUGUAAAGUUAAAAACUGCAUAAAGAAAAAAAUGAUUCCAAAUAAAUUUAUUAGUUACUAAAAGUUAUUAAAACCACGAAAAUUUAUGAUUUUGAAAGUCUUGUAAUCCACCGUGAUGAAAGGUCACUUCACUAGACAUGGAGGUGAAUUUAGAGCGGGCUUUA
This 1752-nucleotide long non-coding RNA is filed under the name Nicotiana tabacum (common tobacco). RNAcentral describes it as "long non-coding RNA (NTAB_LNC000640)". Lineage: Eukaryota; Viridiplantae; Streptophyta; Magnoliopsida; Solanales; Solanaceae. The record is from RNAcentral.